RNAcentral lists this microRNA (22 nucleotides) under Dasypus novemcinctus (nine-banded armadillo). RNAcentral describes it as "Dno-Mir-153-P2_3p (mature (guide))". Lineage: Eukaryota; Metazoa; Chordata; Mammalia; Cingulata; Dasypodidae. The record is from RNAcentral.
UUGCAUAGUCACAAAAGUGGUC